AUGCAGGUACAACUUGGCCAAGUAGAAAUCAAAUGCCCCAUCACAGAGUGUUUUGAAUUCUUGGAAGAAACAACUGUUGUCUAUAACUUAACGCAUGAAGACUCCAUCAAGUAUAAGUACUUCUUGGAACUUGGCCGUAUUGAUUCCAGCACCAAGCCAUGUCCUCAGUGCAAGCACUUUACAACCUUCAAGAAAAAAGGACAUAUUCCCACCCCUUCCAGAUCAGAAAGCAAAUACAAAAUCCAGUGCCCUACCUGCCAAUUCGUCUGGUGUUUUAAGUGCCACUCUCCUUGGCAUGAAGGUGUUAACUGCAAGGAGUACAAAAAAGGAGACAAAUUGUUGCGUCACUGGGCCAGCGAAAUUGAGCAUGGGCAGAGGAAUGCCCAGAAGUGUCCAAAGUGCAAGAUCCACAUCCAGCGAACUGAAGGAUGUGACCAUAUGACCUGCUCACAAUGUAACACUAAUUUUUGUUACCGAUGUGGUGAGAGAUACCGCCAGCUCCGAUUUUUUGGAGACCACACAUCAAACCUCAGUAUAUUUGGAUGCAAAUAUCGCUACCUCCCAGAGAGACCUCAUUUAAGGAGAUUAGUGCGAGGGUCAGUCUGUGCUGGAAAAUUAUUCAUUGCACCUCUAAUUAUGGUUUUGGGAUUGGCACUAGGGGCCAUAGCGGUUGUAAUCGUUGAAGAAAUUAAGACUUACUAGGACCUCAUAAGUGGUAGAACUGGCAAUCAAACCCAACAUUUGGCUCCACAGCCUGUAUUGUUAAGUGAUACGCUAUACUGCCUGAAACAAGUAUGAGUAUCAUAGUUUAUUUGUAUUUCCUAUCUAUUGCCUUUGUAAAAAACAGAGAAAACGAUCACGGACAGGUAUGCACUGGUAGCACGCGGAUGAUUUCAUCCAGCUAAGCUGGUUGGAGUAGGAGCGAUACCAAAUGGUACACCCAUCUGUGAGUCACAUCUUGAAAAAUACUGAGAGGAACCUUCUACCAUCUCAUCUCCCAGUGAUUCUCCGUGGGCCACAAUGCCUCUAGCUAUGGUGCACUCCCAACAUGGUAUCCUGUCCUUUCCCUAAACAAAUUGCUGCUGCUUUUAAAAAAUGGUCACUUUCAUAAACUAUAAACAUCUGUAUCAUAACUCUGACCUUUGUGGUUCUUGGAAGAAGACACUUUAAGAACCAGUUAUCCUCAGAAUUCUUCUGAGCACACCUCUUCUGAGAACUGCUUGGACUGUCUUUGAACUCUACACCUCCUUCCAGGCCAUCUUGUGAGACUUGGUGUGAAUAGCUGAAGUCCUAUCUGUACCAACAAGCAAGGCCACUUUUCAGAAGAUAAGAGUUCACUGAAUGCACCUAUUAUAAUCUGUGGCCCCAGCAGUAUAAUUUCUUUAUCUUUCCAAUGUUAUAAUUGCUAAAAGUCUCAAUGUCCAAAAGGGAAUGAAUGAAAGUAAAUUAAUGAGAAGAAUACUAAGUUACUGAAGUGUAUAUGUGUAGGGGUGUGAAUGUGUGUGUAUAUAAAUAUGUAUUAAAACUAGGCCCAGCAACCUUGUACUUACCCAGUUCCAUACUGCUACACUAUUUUUCCACAUUUUUGUAGACCUGUUGAAAGAUGAUGGUUCCUUUGUGGACGUAAUUUGGCAAUGUAUUAAAUUAAAGUCAACGUAGACAACAGGCUAUUUUGAUGCU
Mandrillus leucophaeus (drill) is the source of this 1680-nucleotide RNA transcript. It is a transcript of the gene named probable E3 ubiquitin-protein ligase RNF217, with no coding region annotated. NCBI's taxonomy places the organism in Eukaryota, Metazoa, Chordata, Mammalia, Primates, Cercopithecidae. The record is from RefSeq and is a predicted model, not a curated record. The transcript is spliced from 6 exons.